UGGGGAAUUUUGGGGCAAUGGGAGGCAACUCUGACCCAGCAACGCCGCGUGAAUGAUGAAGGUCUUCGGAUUGUAAAGUUCUGUGAUGGGGGACGGAAGAAAGUAGACGGUACCCCAACUAGCAAGCCACGGCUAACUACGUGCCAGCAGCCGCGGUAAUACGUAGGUGGCAAGCGUUGUCCGGAAUGACUGGGCGUAAAGGGUGCGUAGGUGGCCGAUCAAGUUGAUUGUGAAAUUCCGGGGCGUCAACUCCGGAGCUACAGUCAAAACUGACCGGCUUGAGUGCAGGAGAGGUAAGCGGAAUUCCUAGUGUAGCGGUGGAAUGCGUAGAUAUUAGGAGGAACACCGGAGGCGAAAGCGGCUUACUGGACUG
RNAcentral lists this ribosomal RNA (373 nucleotides) under uncultured bacterium. Its description in RNAcentral is "bacterial SSU rRNA". It matches the Rfam family "Bacterial small subunit ribosomal RNA", at positions 355 to 736 of the family's 1533-position model. The record is from RNAcentral.